AUUCAUAUUAAUGUUAAUGAAUCUAGAUAGAUGUGAAACGGAGGGAGUACAUAGCAUCAUCUCGACGGUCUGCGAGCUCGAGCUUGAGAUGUGGUGUUUCCCCAUCUCAUGUGAAUCAUUUGAGCCUUCCGGAUCCCAACUCUUGAACCGUCCAAGGCGUAUCCGUCUCCAUCGUCAGGCGUUGCUGUUGUUUAGACAAGCUGAUCUACCGUCUCUCCUUUCAAGUUACAUAGUUCAAGUCGUCAUUCAUUACUUCGACAAACAGUCUGCUGAGUUCAUCAACUCAGCUGUUGGGGCCAUCACCGUCUCCUACAUCAUGCAGCUACUGACUGGAGGAUAUGCAUAAUGUGCUUUUUAAAGAGGGACAAUGUUCUAGGUGUUUGCAAAGAGCACGUGUGAGGGCACAAAUCCAUACUAAGGCAGAUCGCCAACUUAUACUGUCAGGACAUAUGUGUUUUGGACUACUUGGGAGGGAGUUUUCAGCAGUAAUAUAUGUAACACAAAGUAUAUCCAAUAUACUUUCCAUCAGUGGGGAAGAGUAGUUUAGAUGUUGGGUGAGUGCAUUUCAUUGCUGGAGUGUACCAGUGUAAAAUGUGCUGAAAUUAUUUCGUAACUAAUAAAGCAAAUUUACAACCUUUUGUUUUGUAUACAGGUUGAUGGUAAUUAGUAAGCC
RNAcentral lists this long non-coding RNA (673 nucleotides) under Oryza sativa Indica Group (long-grained rice). RNAcentral's name for it is "lncRNA OsMH63_04G012190". Lineage: Eukaryota; Viridiplantae; Streptophyta; Magnoliopsida; Poales; Poaceae. The record is from RNAcentral.